UUUUUUGCAGGUUGCAUAGCGGCUGCGGUUAAUGAAAAGAACAUGGGUUUUUUGGCGCUUUUGAUAAGUGAAACGUUAGCUAUUACCGAAAGUGGAGAGCUCUAUAUGUGGGGAAAGAAUUUUAGUGGUCAGCUUGGAAGGAAUUUGACCUUAAUCGCACAUUGACGGUUGGCGAAAGUGAAGAUAGAAGGUAAAUAUUUUGGUUAUGAUCGUCAGAUUGUU
Helianthus annuus (common sunflower) is the source of this 222-nucleotide long non-coding RNA. RefSeq lists it as uncharacterized. The transcript is spliced from 3 exons. The record is from RefSeq and is a predicted model, not a curated record. Lineage: Eukaryota; Viridiplantae; Streptophyta; Magnoliopsida; Asterales; Asteraceae.